Molecule: long non-coding RNA, 1952 nt
Organism: Hemicordylus capensis (graceful crag lizard)
Lineage: Eukaryota; Metazoa; Chordata; Lepidosauria; Squamata; Cordylidae
Exons: 2
Source: RefSeq, a predicted model, not a curated record
GAAUUACAAGCCAUGAACUACUUGGCUCUUCUGUCAGACAGCUCGUGUUUUGGUGCUAGUGCAAAUAAAGCAAAGUUCAUACAACAGCGGCUGUGAGUUUAAAAAGACACCACUUGUACAGAUGCAGCUAGCCUUGACUUAAGCGUCGUCUGCAGCAACUUGAAGUGUGAUAUUUCAGCAGCAAAAGGAAGGAGCUGUACCCUGAACUAUAGCACAUUAUAUUUUUACAGUAUGUGUGAUGUUUUCUUUCUACCCAAAUGACUGUUGUGUUUCAAUCACUUGCAGCUGUGUUUGAAUAAAACAAUUUCAUACUUUUGUGUUUUUACCUGGAAAACAAAUACACUUAAGAACAUUAAUGGUUUGGCCUGGCUUCUUUUUAAAGAAGGAACAGAAUGAGGUAAGAACAGGCAAAGUGGUGUUGAUAAAUGUUUGUGGAAGCAUGCAGGGAAGACAUUGUCACCUUUGGAGACUUUCUUUUAACUUAAAUUUGGGUACUGCGCCUAAAAUACGAUCAAAUAGCUUAAAAUGAGAUCUGAAAACCAAGAUGGUUGCAGUAGUGUGAGAGUGUCAUUUUGCUUUUAGCAAAAAGUGUGUGCUUUUAAGCAUCUCUAUACUACUUGUAUAGCAUUUAGUACAACAGAGUGGAUAAGUAUUGAACAGUAUACAAGUGUGAAGCUGUACCUGCUAGGUUCCAUCCUGCUAACAACCAACAGAGUUGGUAGGAUGUCGCUAUUUUAAGGUCUAACUUAGCAGCCAACACCACUACUUCCCCUUAAAGCUCAAUCAUGGCCUUGGAUAAAAUGGGAACUGUCUAUAUGCUGCUUUCAGCUCCUUGAAGGAAGAAUGACAUACGGAUUUGAUAAGACAUGUUGCGGGGGUCAACAACUGUUAAGUGUUUUGGCUGAGAUGUCUGCUGGGAAGGCCCUUUAACCCUUCAGGAUUCUCAUAAAUAGGAAGAGUAUUUAUUCAAAUACCACCAAAUUCAAAAAGGAUUCAGGACAGCUAAUAGACAUUUUAUAUACAUAAAAUACAUAAUUGUCUUUGAAAUAUGAAAAAGUGCAUCCUUUUAUUUUUUCCAAGCUGGGAAAUGGUGAGCAAAUAAUUUGCAUUAUCUACUGGAUCCUUGCUCCAGUGUCCCAAGGAGGAGACAAGUGCCUACUCUUGCCAGCCAGGGGUGGCAAGAAGGUGUGGGGCAGGGAGCUUCACCCACCAGCUAAAUUAGUUGCCAAGAGGGAUGCAAGUGGCAAGACUAAAUGAUUGGCGACGGUGGCAGUGAGAUUAUUCAGUUGUUAUAAAGAAGUGAGCUGACUUGGGGAAAUUGAGAGAGGGGCUGUUCCAAGUGUAGGAUAUGCAUAGUGUUCUAUACCACAGUGUACAGAACAUUCAUAGAGGUGAAAAGCCUUAAACAAGAACCAUGGCAGUUGAUGUAGAAAGCAAGGCAGUUAUGAUAAUGGUGACAAAAUACUCACAAGGACAACCGUAAAAUUUCUACACUCCAGUAGAGCUAAGCAAACCAUUCACUACCACAGUCUUUCACAUGUUAUACACCGCAGAGAGGGAUAACUCCCUAAUCUUUCGAACAGAAAUGUGUACAAAGUAAGGAUUGAUUUUGUGUGUUUUUAAAUCCCAAUUAUCAAAAGUUAGGAGAAAUUAACUUAUAAUUCUUAAAUCUCUGACUGGAAUAUCGUGCUACAGGUGGUUGCUUUUGUGUAUAUCUGCAUUGUCAUUUCAGAAUGCUUCUCAUUAACUAUUACUGAACUCAUUUUUUUUUUAAUUGACUUCCUUCUGAUUUUCUACUUACCUUGCUUCUGAGACAUCUAAAUUCUGAAAUUGUGACAUUAUCUAUUGCCAUGGAAACAAGUUGGAGAGUAACAGUGGUUUGACCUGUCUAACUAUAAAAAGCAUAUCAGGUGUCAGUUGUGCAACAUACAGAAUAAAAAUCCAUGACCAGU